Molecule: RNA transcript, 6323 nt
Organism: Panicum virgatum (switchgrass)
Lineage: Eukaryota; Viridiplantae; Streptophyta; Magnoliopsida; Poales; Poaceae
Exons: 10
Source: RefSeq, a predicted model, not a curated record
CAGCUCCCCAACCCAGAUUUCCCCCACCAAUCGUCAAUUCGUGAUUCGUGGAGCGCCGGGCCGUUGUCUCGUACGGUCGUACCAUCGCGUGCUCGUCGCCGGGCCGAAGGCGAAAUGCGGCGCCCGCGCGGCACAAGCGACGGCGACGAGGAUCCCGGCGAGGAGGAGGAGGAACGGCGCCAGGCUGCGCCGCCGCCGGGGAAGGACGGCCCCGGGGACGCGCUGUGGCGGUGGCGGAGAAAGAGCCUCUCCGAGGUGGUGCUCUCGUGGUCCGUGGACCAAAUCCUCGACAAGGACCUGCUCCGCGAAAAGGUGUUGAAGAUACCUGAGACAUUUAACACCAUGGAGCAGUACAUGACAUCGUUCUUUGGGCCACUUUUAGAAGAGGUCAGGGAUGAUAUGUGUUCAAGCAUGGAGGACAUCUCUAAUGCACCAUAUGCAGAUCUGCUCUCUGUCAAUUCAAUGAGGAAAGGGAAGGGAUCAUUCGAGAUCAGUCUUGGCAGAUGGAGGGGAACAUCUCAUGGUUGUGGGAUUGAUAACUAUAAGCCAAAAGCUGCAGAUGUGCUAUUGAUUUCAGAAACAAGACCAACAAAUCAAUAUGAUAUUCUCAGACAGUCCAAAUCAUGUGUCAUUGUGUGGGUCAGUAAGGUUAAGGGCAAUAAGAUGACAGUUAAGGCAUCACGGUUGAUGGAGACUGGGGCACAAGGAGAUGAACGUCGACAAAUGGGUGUUAAUAAGUAUGAUAAGUCGUAUUCUGAAGGUUUGGAUGAGUCUUGGGAUAUGCUAGAUCAAGAAGCAGUCGCUUCAAAAUCUAGAUACUCAUCUGCCCACAACAUUGUCCGAAAAGAACGAGCCGAAGCUGAAAAGUGCAGUGGACAGCAUGGACAAAAUGAGACAAAGACACACGAGUCAUCAAGGCGAUGGUCGUUCUGUGCCAUGUUCCUAACUAAUAUGGUAACAUAUGACCGUGUUUGGGUUGUGCUUCGAAGGGGUUUGACAAUGGAUUCAAAUAUCAUCCAUAGCAUGUUGGGCAGAAACAAUUAUGCUCCUGGACAUUGUAAAUACUGCAGCAAUAAUUCACUUUAUGAAAUCAAGGGCGAUCUAUGCAACUUUAAGCUGAAUGACUCACAGCUUGAUGCAGUAGCAAGUUGCAUUUUGGCAAGUGAAUGCAGUCACAGAUCUUCUGUUGGGCUAGUUUGGGGCCCACCAGGCACAGGUAAAACUACAACAGUUGCAGUGAUGCUACAAAUGCUUCUGACGAAGGAACAAAGAACUCUUGCAUGCGCUCCAACUAACAUGGCUGUCCUGCAAGUAGCUUCUCGUCUUCUUGAGCUGAUUGGGGACUUCUCUUCAAGACAACAAUAUUCAUUAGGCGACAUCAUUUUAUUUGGUAACAAGGACCGUUUGCAAAUGGGCAAGUUCUUGACAAAAAUAUAUUUGGAUGAUCGUGUCCAGAAGUUGUUGAGCUGCUUCAACCGAAAAAAUGGGUGGAAGUAUUGCGUGGAUUCUGUCAUAACAUUCCUAAUAAAUUGCAUUUCCCGGUACAGAAUGUCUGUAGAUAUACAGCAAGGACGCAGCAAUGCAUGCAACCUUACCUUUAAGAAGUAUUUUACAAGUAGAUUCAGUGCUUUAGCCAAGGAAUUGGCAGGAUGCAUCAAUACAUUCUGUUACCAUCUACCAAGGGGUUCCCUAGGCAAGAACUUUGAUAGGAUGAUGCUCGCCAAAAGCUUGGUUGAAAAAUUGCAGCAGUUGCUGAGCGCAGAUGAUGUCUCUGAUGAGAUUCUUUUUACAAUCUUCAAGCCUGCUGAUGAACUUCCUGGUUCUUCUAGUAGUCAUGAUGACCUGAUAGAUGACGCCGCUGAUGAUCUUCAUGAAUGUGAUAUUUCUUCAGAUAGCCCUUUGGACAUUAAAAAUCUUUGCAUAAAAACUCUUAUGGCUCUUUCGAAGAUGCAGCUUCCUUGUGAAGACAAUGAGCUUUCAAUCCGGGACUUAUGUUUGAAACAUGCUAAGCUUAUAUUUUGCACUGCUUCUGGUUCAUUUGAGUUGUUCAGACUGCAAAGUGUGAAGCCUAUAAGCAUCUUAGUCAUUGAUGAGGCAGCUCAGCUAAAAGAAUGUGAAUCACUGGUUCCUCUAUUGCUCCAUGGGAUAGAACAUGUUUUACUAAUUGGGGAUGAAAACCAGCUAUCAUCAUUGGUAAAGAGCAAGAUUGCUAAAGAUGCUGACUUUGGACGAAGCCUCUAUCAGAGACUGUGUGCAAUGGGUUACAGCAAGCACUUGCUGGAAGUGCAAUAUAGAAUGCACCCUUGCAUCAGCAAAUUUCCAAAUGCCAACUUUUAUGAUCAUCGGAUUUCAGAUGGUCCCAUUGUAAAGCAGGAAACCUAUGUCAAGAGUUAUCUCCCUGGUCCUAUUUUUGGUUCUUAUUCGUUCAUUCAUAUUGAAAAUGACAUGGAGAUGCUUGAUAGCCUUGGUCAGAGUUCCAAGAAUAUGGCUGAGGUUGCUGCAGCAGCCAAUAUAGUUGAAAGACUUGCAAAAGAAUGCUCUGAUAAAAAGCAGAGGACGAGUGUUGGUGUAAUAUCUCCUUAUACGGCCCAAGUAAUCGCAUUGCAAGAUAGACUUGGAAGAAAGUUUGAGAAACAUGACUUUCUAUCUGUUACAGUAAAAUCUAUAGAUGGAUUUCAAGGUGGUGAGGAGGAUAUUAUAUUGAUUUCAACAGUUCGGUCCAAUAAAGAUGGCAAAGUAGGCUUUCUAUCUGAUGCUGGGAGAAUUAAUGUGGCUUUGACAAGAGCAAAGUACUGCCUUUGGAUCCUCGGAAACGGAACCACUUUACUGGCAAGCAAUUCAAUAUGGGCUGAUUUAGUCCGUGAUUCAAAAAGACGUGGAUGCUUCUUUGAUGCUUUUGUUGAUAAGGACAUAGCAGAGGCAGUCAUGCUUGUAACUAAGCCUGAGCCACGGAAACAAAUAGAACAGAGGAAUAACCACGCAAAUCUUGGAAAUGGAGUGCUGUCUUGGUCAUCAACGCCCGAUAUGGUGGCUGUCAGGAACGACCCACCAAGAAGAUGGAAUGAGCUUCCACUUCCAGUCAGAGCUUCAAGUGACCAGCAUAGUUCUUUGGAAGGGUAUCGAGGAUGGUCCAAACAGAAUCUUGGGCCCCAACCCCACGGCAGGUUGUAUUAUGAGCCACUGCACAGUAGUUCUCAAACAGGUAAUGGAAGGAAUACUCCUAGAUCAGCCCAUAUGGAAGAAUCACAUGGCCAAAAUAGUGUUCUUGAUGCAUGGCAGUAUCCAAGAAGCUACUGCAACAGGGAGUAUCAGAAUAGGACUGUUUAUCCAGAGUCCCAGAACGUGGUAACUUAUCCGUACCAGAGCAGUUCUUUCCAACAAAGGUUCCAGUCAUAUGGAGUUGACAGGCAAUUCAGCAGUAUUCAACGACAAGAACCACAUGGUCAAAUUGGCAGUCGAGGCAGAGGAAGACCUUCCUGUCUUGAGAGGGGAGGUAGGGGAGGAUGGCGUGAACGGUAUGUUUACCAUCGGACGGAAGAGCCUCGUAGUCGCAGUUGGGUGCAAAAUGGUGCUUCUGAAACUGCACUGUGCAAACGGCUAGCUCCUGAGCAGCGAGGGACAAAGAGGGACUGGUGUGAAGCAGAAUCAUCAGAUUCACUACAACAGGACAACAGAAAAAUGAGACCUGAAUGUGCAGAUCAACUUCCUGGGCAGGAGUAUCAUGGAGGCUCUGGAGAGCUCACCUACAAACUGCAUGCUCCUGAGCAGGGAGGGGUGAAGACAGAUGGGUGCAAAGCUGAAGCAUCAAGUUUGCCUGUCCAGGGUGACUCAAAAUCAACACCUGAAAGGGCAGAUCAAUCUCAUUGUACUACGUGGGACAGCAGUUCUGGUGCCUUUUCUCAUGGACUUCCUGUUUCUGAGCGGAAAGGGGUGGAAAUAGACUUGUGUGAAGCAGAAACAUCAGAUAUACCAUCUCAGGCUUUGAACGAAAGUUCUGAAGCAUCUCAUUAACCUCCUAUUCCUGAGCGAAGAGGGAUGGAAACAGACUUGUGUGAGGUAGGGGCAUUGAUGCAGCAAAUCAGUUCCAGGAUGGCAGUUCUGAAGCAGUUUCGCACGGACUGAUUGCUCCCAAGUAGGGAGGGGCAGAAAUAAACUUGUGUGCAGCAGAAGCAUCAGCUACACCAACUCAGUCUCGUGGUGGCUGUUCUGAAGGAUCCCUCGAGCUGCCUGUUCCUGAGAAGCAAGGAUGGAAACUGCCUUGUGUGAAACAGGAACAUAGAUGCACCAUCAGGCUCAGGAUGGCAGUUCUGGAUCUGCUUUACAACUACCUGUUCGUGAGCAGCGAGGAACUGAAACUAACUGCCUGUUCCUGAGCAGCAAGGAACUGAAACAGACUUGCGUGGAGCAGAAACUUCGCCAGAACAGCAGGACAACAGAGAAAUAAACCUGAAACUAUAGAAUCAGAUAGUUGCAUUCGACUCCACGAAUGGUUGCAGGCUCCUCCCCUGUUGCUGCCAAUCUUACUACAAGGUACUGAGUAUUCACCCAUGAUGAAUAAUUUCUUGAGUAUUCACUGAUCUUACUACUAGUCUUACUACAAGGUACUGAGUAUUCACCCAUGAUGAAUAAAUAAGUUUUGGCUAUCUAGUUAUUGAUAUGUGACUAGGUUAGGUAUGCAAUUCCAUGGCUGUAUGGCUGUUUGAUUAUCAUGCUUGCGCAGAUAAUCUGAAGCUAAUCUGAAGAUUGCUGACAGUCUAUGAUUUUACUACCGUUUGCAGGGCUGUUCAGGCAUUUGCACAAUUCUUGUCUGUUCAGUUUGGGGCAUGUUUUAUUGGGCGCACAUUAGUAUUUGCUUUGUCAGGAAAAAUGGGAUGACUGCGCAAUGGUGUACGAGAUUUUAGAAGCCUGAACUUUUGGGACUGCAUAUUAGUAUUACUGUAUCAGUGUAUGUUCAUUGCAUUGCCCUUCGAACCUGAAGUGGCUUGCCAUGCAUAUUUCUGAGUGAUUGCUGCUCUUUUCUACUAGUUCACUAAAUUAUAUAUGGGUGACAUUUUGCAAGUGACAGUUUGCUGGCUGUUCUGCAGCUUUCUCAGAAGACGAAGAGGGAAAUGAAGCAUGAGAAGUACUACUUUCCCAUUAGCAUUCCCAACAAAAAGAGCAAAAUCAGCUACUGAUUUUCCUACAAAAGGGGGGCGGGGGCUGUUCAUCCUUCUCCAGCACCAGGAAGGCAGGAACAAAACUGUUGCUGUAGCUUGCAUGGUUGCGCAGGGGACGGGCAGCGCUGGAAGCCGCGGACUGCUGGGGUGCACGAGGCUGACGCCACGCCCGUCGCCCGGUCGGCAGCGCGCCGUCCUUUGUUAGAGCAUGCAGCCGGGGUUGUGCUUGGUUAGACGAGUACGUUCAUCGGCAUGCACAGCGAUAUUCUUGCAAAACUUCAAAGGCAUCACGCUCCUCUACAGUUUCAUUGCUUCGGUGAGCUGUGCACAGACCCGUUACUGCGAAAUAAACAUGCAAACAAUUGCUGUGGUGUACAGAUGAUAUGCACUGAGAUGAACAAAGUUAUAUAAGUUACAUUUUCUAGAUCUGAAGAUGGGAUUUGCACUUUUACACACAAUAGCAACCUGGGAUUCUAAAAAACCUUUCCUCGUAUAAAAAACUGGGCAAGCUCGGGAGCAGGAGCAAGGGUGGUAGCUUUUUCACACUGCCUUCCUGUAUUUACCACGCUGUAUGGACUAUAACAUUCAGCCUGUCUGCCCAGGGCCUGCUCUCUAAUGGAUUGGGUGGUACUGCGUGAUCCCUCGGUUUGGAGGCAGUUUCCGUAGAAUGAAGAGCACCAGAGCUGAAGGCACGAUCUCAACCAGCUGCAAUGGAGUAGGUGAAUUCAGUCAGUAAAUUAAAAAGAACUCAGGUUACUGGACUGGAAGGUGAAAAAUGUUAAAGAUAUAUGGGAAACGCUGCAACAUCAGGAAUAACCUGCGGAAAAAUGACAACAUCAGAUGCCAUCUCAGUCGGGAAGGUUUAAGCUCUACUACAUGCAUCCUUAGAAUAGUAGAACACGUCUACAAAUAUCAAGAACAAGGGUAUUGUUACAGGGAAUAUCUGCAUGCCAGUAUGCAAUGAGCAAUAUAUUGCAAGCGCACAAAACAACUGCUACAUAUCCUGGUAUUGCUUGUAAAAUUGUUGUUACAAAGCAUGAUUCUGUAAUUUUCUGUGAGAGGUGGUCCAGAAGUAGAGUUUACCAAUAUAGGCACACAACACCCGUUAAAAAGAGUAAGGAACAGUUCCAUGUUUUCAGUGGUGAAUAUAUCAUUCAUUAGUGCAAA